GCUGAGGUGGCGUAAUUGGCAGCCGCGCAGGUCUUAGAAGCCUGUGCCGAAAGGCGUGCGAGUUCGAGUCUCGCCCUCAGCACCA
This 85-nucleotide transfer RNA is filed under the name Acidobacteriota bacterium. Its description in RNAcentral is "Acidobacteria bacterium (soil metagenome) tRNA-Leu". It matches the Rfam family "tRNA". From Rfam's summary of the family: Transfer RNA (tRNA) molecules are approximately 80 nucleotides in length. Their secondary structure includes four short double-helical elements and three loops (D, anti-codon, and T loops). The record is from RNAcentral. Lineage: Bacteria; Pseudomonadati; Acidobacteriota.